This is a small nuclear RNA of Nycticebus coucang (slow loris), 107 nucleotides long. The record is from RefSeq and is a predicted model, not a curated record. NCBI's taxonomy places the organism in Eukaryota, Metazoa, Chordata, Mammalia, Primates, Lorisidae.
GUGCUUACUUCAGUAGCACAUACACUAAAAUUGGAAUGAUACAGAGGAGAUUAGCAUGGCUUUUGCUCAAGGAUGAAGCACAGAUUUGUGAAGCAUUCUAUAUAUUU